GACGAACGCUGGCGGCGUGCUUAACACAUGCAAGUCGAACGGUGAAGCGCCUUCCUUUUUGGUGGGUGUGGAUGAGUGGCGAACGGGUGAGUAACACGUGAGUAACCUGCCCCCUUCUUCUGGAUAACCGCAUGAAAGUGUGGCUAGUACGGGAUAUUCUGGGUCUGUCGCAUGAUGGGUCUGGGAAAGAUAUUGUUUCGGUGGGGGGUGGGCUCGCGGCCUAUCAGCUUGUUGGUGGGGUGAUGGCCUACCAAGGCGGUGACGGGUAGCCGGCCUGAGAGGGUUGACGGUCACACUGGGACUGAGACACGGCCCAGACUCCUACGGGAGGCAGCAGUGGGGAAUAUUGCACAAUGGGCGCAAGCCUGAUGCAGCGACGCCGCGUGAGGGAUGGAGGCCUUCGGGUUGUGAACCUCUUUCGCCAGUGAAGCAGGCCUGCCUCGUUUGUGGGUGGGUUGACGGUAGCUGGAUAAGAAGCGCCGGCUAACUACGUG
RNAcentral lists this ribosomal RNA (494 nucleotides) under uncultured bacterium. RNAcentral's name for it is "partial 16S ribosomal RNA". It matches the Rfam family "Bacterial small subunit ribosomal RNA", at positions 28 to 507 of the family's 1533-position model. The record is from RNAcentral.